UCUCAAUAUUGCAAAUAGUACUGAUAUAAAUAUCUUUGUAAAAAUAAUUAUGAAGUUCUUUUAUUGCUUGGCUGUUUUCCUAGGUGAAGUUUUAUAGCUUUUGCUACAUUUAUCAGCUUGUACUUCAGAAACAUUGAGUCAAGUUAAAGUGAUACCAGCAAGGAGACUCUGCUAGUGGAAGAAUCAUGCAGAAGAGGCUUUUGUUGCUUUGAAUAGAAUAUACACUGCACUGUGCAUCUAAUGGUUUCCUGUGGCAUGCCUCCCAGAUGCUAGGCACUGUGCUAGAGCAUAAGGUACACACAUUCCCUCUUAAACGAACUCACAGACUGGGGGUAUGCUGGUGGAGAGAGAGAAACAAGCAAGUGCAAAAUACUAUGGCGAGUGCUGGGAUGGUGUCCUCUCUCUCAGAUUUUAGGAGCACCUAAUUUAGAGUUAGGGAGUCACGGACAGCUCCUUAGAGGAAGUCCUGUCCGAGAAGGACCUGAAAGGAUGGAUGCACCAGGCUGAGGAAUAGCACAUUCAAAGUAUCCCAGGAAGGGCCAAUAAAAACAUCCUGGAGAGAAAAUAGCUGGGCAGUUUCUCAAAAAGUUAAAUAUGAAAUCACCAUGUGACUUAGCAAUUCGCUCCUAGGUAUAUACCCAAAAGAAUUGAAAACAUAUGUUCGUACAAAAACCC
Molecule: long non-coding RNA, 675 nt
Filed under: Equus caballus (horse)
Lineage: Eukaryota; Metazoa; Chordata; Mammalia; Perissodactyla; Equidae
Description: lncRNA (ENSECAG00000045230.1)
Source: RNAcentral